Molecule: ribosomal RNA, 434 nt
Filed under: uncultured bacterium
Lineage: Bacteria
Description: partial 16S ribosomal RNA
Rfam family: Bacterial small subunit ribosomal RNA
Source: RNAcentral
ACGGAAGGCAGCAGUGGGGAAUAUUGCACAAUGGGGGGAACCCUGAUGCAGCGACGCCGCGUGAAGGAAGAAGUAUCUCGGUAUGUAAACUUCUAUCAGCAGGGAAGAUAAUGACGGUACCUGACUAAGAAGCACCGGCUAAAUACGUGCCAGCAGCCGCGGUGAUACGUAUGGUGCAAGCGUUAUCCGGAUUUACUGGGUGUAAAGGGUGCGUAGGUGGCAUGGCAAGUCUGAAGUGAAAUGCGGGGGCUCAACCCCUGAACUGCUUUGGAAACUGUCAAGCUAGAGUGCAGGAGAGGAAAGCGGAAUUCCUAGUGUAGCGGUGAAAUGCGUAGAUAUUAGGAGGAACACCAGUGGCGAAGGCGGCUUUCUGGACUGUAACUGACACUGAGGCACGAAAGCGUGGGGAGCAAACAGGAUUAGAUACCCUGGUA